UACGGAGGGUGCAAGCGUUGUCCGGAAUUAUUGGGCGUAAAGCGCGCGCAGGCGGUCUCGUAAGUCUGAUGUGAAAGCCCACGGCUCAACCGUGGAGGGUCAUUGGAAACUGGGGAACUUGAGUGCAGAAGAGGAAAGUGGAAUUCCAUGUGUAGCGGUGAAAUGCGUAGAGAUGUGGAGGAACACCAGUGGCGAAGGCGACUUUCUGGUCUGUAAUUGACGCUGAGGCUCGAAAGCGUGGGGAGCGAACAGG
This 253-nucleotide unclassified non-coding RNA is filed under the name uncultured Caryophanales bacterium. RNAcentral describes it as "uncultured Bacillales bacterium contains 16S-23S intergenic spacer region". It matches the Rfam family "Bacterial small subunit ribosomal RNA", at positions 524 to 776 of the family's 1533-position model. The record is from RNAcentral. Lineage: Bacteria; Bacillati; Bacillota; Bacilli; Caryophanales.